This 3926-nucleotide long non-coding RNA is filed under the name Lupinus angustifolius (narrow-leaved blue lupine). RNAcentral's name for it is "long non-coding RNA (LANG_LNC001158)". The record is from RNAcentral. Lineage: Eukaryota; Viridiplantae; Streptophyta; Magnoliopsida; Fabales; Fabaceae.
UAUAGAUUUCACCAGUUGGAGCAUUAAUCAAACAUGGUCUUGUUCCAAACUUAGAAAGAUUCUCAAAGCAAUAUGAAUGUAAAGGAAGGUGAUUGGGGAUGUAGAUAUCAGGAAGCCUGGACUUGAAUAUGAUGUCCUUUUUUUGUUGCUUUAUUGUUUCAUUAUCAAUAGCCAUAAUGAGAUGAGAUUAAUGGAGUGUGAGUGUGUUGUGUUGUGUUGUGUUAUGCCCUGAGAAGAAAGAACAAGAGCUAUGAAAGUAUUUGUAAUGAAGAGUUGGUUAAGGUGAUGAACUAAAAAAGACAAAGGAUUGGUUAAGGUGGUGGUUGGUAAGGGAUAAAAUAGAGAUUUAAGAUAAUGUUGAAAGGUAAUGAAUAAAUAUGGAAAAUGUAUAGCAUAAGUAAUGAAAUAAAGAUAGAUGGUGGUUUUGGUUGGUGUGGAGUUGAACAUAGGGGUUGGUGAAUGAAUGAAUGGUUUUGAUUUUUGGAGUGUUAAAAUGGUGGGGGUCAAAUCAAACCUACCACAAGACCAUUUCUUUUUAGAUCAUAGGUACAUACAUGAAUAAUGAAUAAUGCACAUUUUAUAUGGAUGCAUUCACAUUAUGUACAAUGCCACUUGGAUUCUCUCUUCUCUCUUCUUCACCUACUACACCAUGACGAUAGCAGCCAUCAUUCAGUAUUAUUAUACCACUAUAUCAUCAAUCUUCUAUGUUGUAUGGAAAAUGUAAUUGUGUAAAUCACACAUUCACAAUACAUUUAAAUAUCACUUUCUUCUUUUGUUUUAAAUUUACUUCUUCUUUAUUUUUAAGUCUUUACUUUUUGGAUAAAAUAUGUUAAUGUGAAGCGGCUAAAUACUUUAAAUAAAACAAAAACACCAGGGAUAAAUUAAGUGUGUUGUAGCCCCUAUUUGUGACUGAUGUAAUUUUACCCUUGUUUUUUAAUUCGACCAAAGUUAAUGAUAGACUAAGAUCAAAAUCAGUAAAAAUACCAUGUUUAACUUUUUAAAAAAGCACUAAAGUUAGUAUAACAAAUCCAAAAACUAUUUUUAUAUAAUUGUUUAAUAGAACAAGAAGGAUGUAAAAAGUUAAAACUGAAUUUCAUUUCUACCAUUCCCUUAAAUAUUGUAUAUAUCACUCAAUUCAACUAGCAAACCAAUCCCCAUACUUGUAUAGUACAGUGAUACGAGACAUGCAAUUCAAUUGGUCAAAUGGGCUUAUGCAUCAAAAAAAAAAUUCAUAUUUUUCAAAUGAAACAUUAAGAAUUCAAACCUUAAACUCGAUAAUUGUUGGUAACAUAAUCGAUCAUUGAAUAUUAAAAAAAAAGAUUUAAUAUGUAUACAUCGACAAUGUAAGUGCUUUUUACACUGUCAACAAAUCUUCACUAAUAAUAAGAGCAUGAUAGUAGUUACUUGUACAUGGCUGACAAUGUACAAAUAAUAAUAAUGCAUACAAUAACAAUAUGGUAUUAAAGAAUGGAAUAUGCUCAAUUUGGAAACCCUGCUGCAAGCUUAGCCCUUAGAUCCUUUCUUAAUAUUUUGCCUGAAGGUGACUUGGGAAUGGCUUCAAUGAAGAAUACUCUAUUUAUUCUUUUAUAAAACACAACCUGCAUGCAUGCAUCACAUCACACACUACUAUAUUAAAUGAUAAUUGAAAAGGAAGAGAAUAUAAUUACCUGUUUUGAGAUGAACUGCUUAAUUUCAUCCUCAGUUGUGUCAAUAUCAGCAUUUGAUCUCACAACAAAUGCAACUGGGACCUCUCCAGCAGCUUCAUCCUUCAUUCUGAAAAUAUUAUUCAUUACAAUUUGUACCCAUCAUAUUUAAGUAAAUUAUGAUUCAUUUUAGUAUGAAAAGGGUAAGUAAAGUUACUGGACGACAGCAACAUCAGAGAUGUUAGGAUGAGAAAGAAGGAGAGCUUCAAGUUCAGCUGGAGCAACUUGAAAACCUUUGUAUUUGAUCAAUUCCUUAAGCCUAUCAACUAUGAACAAUUCGUCGUCAUCAUCUAUGUAUCCGAUGUCGCCUGUAUGCAACCAUCCUUCUUUGUCUAUCGUUCUCUUUGUUGCUUCCGGAUCAUUUAGAUAACCUAUGUAUUCAACACUUAACAAUAUUCAUGUCUACCAAUUAUAUGCCAAUGUUAUAUCCUAUACUAUAUAUAUAUAUAACAGGUGUUGUAUUGUAUUGUAUGCAUAGGAUAGGACCAUGUUCUGUCAUAUCCUCUGCCUCAUAUGCAUAUGUAAACAAUAAUGGCAAAUGAUAUUAGAGAAGAAUAUAGUAAACAAUACCUUUCAUGACUUGGUCACCUCUAAUACAAAUUUCACCAGGUUGAUUACGAGGUAAAGAAUUAUCAGUUUCAGGAUCCACAAUCUUCAUCUCUGCAUUUCUAACUACGCUUCCACAUGAACCUGCUUUUACAUCUAUUGGUUCUUUAGCAAAUGUUAAGCACAUUGCUAAUACUGGACCUGCUUCUGUCAUCCCAUAUCCCUGUAUUUAAUCAUUCAUUAGGUAUGUCAAUGCUUAUAAAAUCAAAAAUAUUAUGUAUACAACUACAACUUUAGUCUUAUAUGUCAAAUAACAUAGUUGUUACAAAAUAGGUGUGAGAUAUAUGAUGAGUUUUUGAUGAUGUAUCAUGAUACCUGUCCAAGUUUGGCAUUGGGGAAUUUGGCCCUGACAGUUUGUUCAAGAUCUUUGGAAAGAGGAGCUCCACCAGAUUUCAAGACCCUAAUGGAAGAUGUGUCAUGCUUAUCAAGAUCUGGUGACUUAGCAAUGGCCAACACAAUGGGUGGCACAACUGGUGCAAUACUAACUCUGUAUUUCUCAAUAAGACCAAACAAGGAAUUGAUGUCAAAUUUAGGCAUUAACAAAAUUGCAGCUUUGGCUCUCAACCCACAUAGAAACACAGAGUUGAGGGAAUAUAUGUGAAACAAAGGAAGCACACAUAGUAUAACAUCCUCAGAGUGAAAGUAAAGGUUUGGGUUUUCCCCAUCCACUUGUUGUGCUAUGCUAGUCACCAACCCCUUGUGUGUGAGCAUCACCCCUUUUGGCAACCCUGUUUAUACAAAUUUAGUAUAAUAAUAUAAUGUAUAAUAAAUAAGUCAUUUGAGGCUAAUAUAAUUCAUAAGUGAAGAUUGGAUUGUAAUAUUACCUGUUGUGCCUGAGGAAUAAGGCAAUGUGACCACAUCAUGAGAGUUGAUAUUUACUUGUGGCAUUUGAUUCUCAUCAGCCUCAAGCAGGUCAGAGAAAUGUAGAUGCCCUUCUUGUACAAGUGGAGGUGAAUCCACAAACAUAAGCUUGACAUCCAACAAAUCCUUGACUUUCUCAAAGUAGCUACCUUGUGUUAUAAGCAACUUGGCAUUGGAAGCUUUAGCUUGUUUAGCAAUCUCAGGUUGAGUAAAAAAGGGGUUGGCAGCAGUGGUAAUAGCACCUCUAAAAGAAGCACCAAGGAAAGCAAACACAAAUUGUGGACAGUUUGGGAGAAGAAGCAUGAUCACAUCACCUUGUUGAAUGCCUAAUUUGUUGAGUCCUGAGGCAACUUUUCUUGCAGUGAGCUCUACAUCAUAGUAAGUAUAGAUUUCACCAGUUGGAGCAUUAAUCAAACAUGGUCUUGUUCCAAACUUAGAAAGAUUCUCAAAGCAAUAUGAAUGUAAAGGAAGGUGAUUGGGGAUGUAGAUAUCAGGAAGCCUGGACUUGAAUAUGAUGUCCUUUUUUUGUUGCUUUAUUGUUUCAUUAUCAAUAGCCAUAAUGAGAUGAGAUUAAUGGAGUGUGAGUGUGUUGUGUUGUGUUGUGUUAUGCCCUGAGAAGAAAGAACAAGAGCUAUGAAAGUAUUUGUAAUGAAGAGUUGGUUAAGGUGAUGAACUAAAAAAGACAAAGGAUUGGUUAAGGUGGUGGUUGGUAAGGGAUAAAAUAGAGAUUUAAGAUAAUGUUGAAAGGUAAUGAAU